AUGGCGGAUCCGGACGCCGACGAGAACCCGGACUUGUGGGAGCUCUUCUGCCACUACGACCGGCUCUACUUCCGCGGCGAGCUCGACGCCGCCGCCUUCGCCGUCGAGUGGGCCUACCCGCGCACGAGGACCACCACUUGCUUCGGGUCCUGUUCCUUUGGAGACCUGAGCAAAAUAAUACUCUAUGAGCCAAUGCUGCGAUGGCGCACAAAUGCUGAUAUGAAGAACGCCCUGCUGCAUCUGAUGAUUCAUGCAAUCAUAUUUGUAAAGCAUGGUAUGAAGAACCUCGGCCAUGGUCCUGUUUUCCGUGAUUGGAUGGAUGCUAUCAACACUUGCACCGCUGAGGAUCACAUGAGACCGACAGGUGGCUACCGUAUCACCACUACCCAUGAUUUCAGUGAGGAAAAAUCCUGCAACAUCCAGGGGAUUCCGUGGCAGUGUGAAUGGUGUGGCGUUACACUUCUGAGGGCAACGAAUUUGGGACCUCCAUCUGAUUCCUGCUGUAUCGAGAAUGUUAGCGAAGAUGCAACCUGUGGCAACAUGCUUUGCCAGUGGCACAACCACAAGAUGGAUUGUGGUGGUACAUAUGUGGUAACCAAACCACGAGGGCAAAGGAUGGUUCGAAAAGGUGGAGAGUUGCUUCUUCGGACUGGAACAACUGAAAUGACCAAGUCACAAGGAGCUGUACAACAAUCAGAUUCAGAUGAAGUGCAGAAAGCAAUUGUUUUGUCUGCAGCCCCUCGGAGUCGGAGAAGAUUGAAGCCGAAGCAAGAGUUUGUUGCAUGGGAGAAUAUUGAACUUUUGUCUAUGGGGAGUCGCAGUAAUGCAAAAUCAGUGGGUAGUAGCUCCUCAAAGAAGGCAGAGGAUGUCCUUUCGAGCCAACUGAAACGGAAGCAAACAGCUGUUACAGCAGAGAAGCAUGGGUUUCUUUCAUUAGGGAGUUGCGACAAUGCAAUAUCGUCAGGAAGUAACGCCUCCAGGAAGACGGGAAAGUUGCAUGAGCCAGACGAUGUUAAGCCUUAUGCAUCCCAGAAAAAAUUGAAGUUAGUGCAGGACUUGGCCGCAUCGGAGAAAUAUGGAGCUUUCUCUCUAGGGACUUGCAACAGUGCAAAACCACCACGAAGCAGCACGUCCAGGAAUGCAGAGAAGUGGUGCAAAUCCGAGGGUGUUGAGAAAUCCACUGUCCUGCGGCCUCCUGCGCCCCCUCAGAAAAUGAAGCUUGAGCAAGACUCCGUUACAUUCCAGAAACAUGGGGUUGCAAAACCAUCAAAAAGUAUCACCCCAGACAGAGUUGGCAAGCUGCAUAAGCCGGAUGUUGUUGAGAACUCCGGUGUCCCGCCUUCCACGCCCCUAAAAAAACUGAAGCUAGAGAAGGACCCGGUUGCAUCUGAGAAACAUGGGGUGGCAACAUCAAGAAGCCUACCUGCUGCACCUCUCACAAAGCUGAAGCCAGACUUGGUUGCAUCGGAGAAGAGUUUUGGUUGCGGCAAUGCAAAAGUACCGGACAACAUCUCCUCACAGAUGGCACACAAGAAACUUGAGCAUGGAGGGGCUCAGAAGCACAUUUCUCUGCAUGCUGCCCCUCAAACUAUGCUGAAGCAACCGAACAAAACCAGCUCCACAGUGAAGGCACCAAAGCAACAUACGUUUGAAGACUUUCGGAAAGCAACUGUUCAGCCUGCCGUCCCUCACAGUAAACUGAAGCAAUCAAACCGUGCUGCAUCGGAGAGGCAAAAGACAAGGAGCAAAACCAAGAGUUGUGCUGCGAAAAAAGAGUAUGUUUGCUUUAGUCUGUGGCAGAACUUCUAUGAACCGGAAUGCUCGAGUGGAUCGGACGAGCCGCUUGUAAACAAGAGAAGUGUGCAGAGAAAAAGAGAGAGGGAACGCGCAGUUCAGAUCACAUACUCACGGUCAAGGAAGCGAGGCACCAGUGGGAUCAGCUCCAUCAAGGCCAAAGUGGAUGAGGAAAUCCCAUCUGGACACUUGGAGAUCAUUGUUAUCGAUGACGAGGUGAUGACUGAAGCCCCUGGAGAACAGUGCAAGGCACCAGCUCCAUGCAUGAACGUUCCUGUCGUCCCGCCCACUGAUCAGGUGAAGGCUGAAGCCCCUAGAGGUCAGUCCAAGCCACCAGUUCCAUCCAAGGACGUUCCUGCUGUCCCUCCCGCUGAUCAGGUGAUGAUUGAAGCCCCUAGAGGUAUGUCCAAGACACCAACUCCAUCCAAGGACGUUCCUGCUGUCCCUCCCACAGAUCAGGUGAUGACUGAAGCCCCUAGAGGUUUGUCCAAGACACCAACUCCAUCCAAGGACGUUGCUGCUGUCCCUCCCACAGAUCAGGUGAUGACUGAAGCCCCUGGAGGUUUGUCCAAGACACCAGCUCCAUCCAAGGACGUUCCUGCUGUCCCUCCCACUGAUCAGGUGAUGACUGAAACCCCUAGAGGCCAGUCCCAGCCAGCAGCACAGCGCAUGGACACUGCCGUCCCUCCUGCGGACCACGGAGAUCGGUCCAAUCCAUCUACGAUCAUGGACAUUGCUGCUGUGCCUCCAGCUAUGACCCAAGCCCCUAUGGAUCAGUCACAGCCACCAGCUCCUUGCUCCAUCACCGCUGAUCAGGUGGUUCCACCUCCUUCGGCCGACCUGCCUGGUUUACCUCCUUCAAAUCCAAGCAGUUGGGCUGGCGUGAUAGACAUUUCUGAUGAUGAUGAUGAUGACGACGACGACGACGAAUGA
This 2727-nucleotide ribosomal RNA is filed under the name Triticum aestivum (bread wheat). RNAcentral's name for it is "partial small subunit ribosomal RNA". The record is from RNAcentral. Lineage: Eukaryota; Viridiplantae; Streptophyta; Magnoliopsida; Poales; Poaceae.